RNAcentral lists this non-coding RNA (21 nucleotides) under Arabidopsis thaliana (thale cress). The record is from RNAcentral. Lineage: Eukaryota; Viridiplantae; Streptophyta; Magnoliopsida; Brassicales; Brassicaceae.
GGGCGUCAGAAAUUUGUUGGA